This 292-nucleotide ribosomal RNA is filed under the name uncultured bacterium. Its description in RNAcentral is "partial 16S ribosomal RNA". It matches the Rfam family "Bacterial small subunit ribosomal RNA", at positions 505 to 796 of the family's 1533-position model. The record is from RNAcentral.
GUGUCAGCAGCCGCGGUAAUACGGAGGGUGCAAGCGUUAUCCGGAUUCACUGGGUUUAAAGGGUGCGUAGGUGGGCAGGUAAGUCAGUGGUGAAAUCUCUGGGCUUAACUCAGAAACUGCCAUUGAUACUAUCUUUCUUGAAUACCGUGGAGGUCAGCGGAAUAUGUCAUGUAGCGGUGAAAUGCUUAGAUAUGACAUAGAACACCAAUUGCGAAGGCAGCUGGCUACACGAAUAUUGACACUGAUGCACGAAAGCGUGGGGAUCAAACAGGAUUAGAAACCCGCGUAGUCC